This is a non-coding RNA of Bolinopsis microptera, 74 nucleotides long. NCBI's taxonomy places the organism in Eukaryota, Metazoa, Ctenophora, Tentaculata, Lobata, Bolinopsidae. The record is from the annotation of a RefSeq genome assembly.
GCCUUCCUGGCUCAGUUGGUUAGAGCGUCAGUCUCAUAAUCUGAAGGUCGUGAGUUCGAGCCUCACGGAGGGCA